GUGGGGAAUAUUGGACAAUGGGCGAAAGCCUGAUCCAGCCAUGCCGCGUGUGUGAAGAAGGUCUUCGGAUUGUAAAGCACUUUAAGUUGGGAGGAAGGGCAGUAAGUUAAUACCUUGCUGUUUUGACGUUACCGACAGAAUAAGCACCGGCUAACUUCGUGCCAGCAGCCGCGGUAAUACGAAGGGUGCAAGCGUUAAUCGGAAUUACUGGGCGUAAAGCGCGCGUAGGUGGUUUUGUAAGUUGGAGGUGAAAUCCCCGGGCUCAACCUGGGAACUGCCUCAAAAACUGCAUGACUAGAGUACGGUAGAGGGUAGUGGAAUUUCCUGUGUAGCGGUGAAAUGCGUAGAUAUAGGAAGGAACACCAGUGGCGAAGGCGACUACCUGGACUGAUACUGACACUGAGGUGCGAAAGCGUGGGGAGCAAACAGGAUUAGAAACCCUGGUAGUCC
This 450-nucleotide ribosomal RNA is filed under the name uncultured bacterium. RNAcentral's name for it is "bacterial SSU rRNA". It matches the Rfam family "Bacterial small subunit ribosomal RNA", at positions 354 to 796 of the family's 1533-position model. The record is from RNAcentral.